GAUUAUCGAAGGAGUUCGCCUUAAUUCAUAAUC
This 33-nucleotide non-coding RNA is filed under the name unclassified sequences. RNAcentral describes it as "S4-Flavobacteria ribosomal protein leader". It matches the Rfam family "S4-Flavobacteria ribosomal protein leader". The record is from RNAcentral.